Molecule: ribosomal RNA, 472 nt
Filed under: uncultured bacterium
Lineage: Bacteria
Description: partial 16S ribosomal RNA
Rfam family: Bacterial small subunit ribosomal RNA
Source: RNAcentral
GACGAACGCUGGCGGCGUGCUUAACACAUGCAAGUCGAGCGGGGAACUUCGGUUCCCAGCGGCGGACGGGUGAGUAACACGUGGGUAACCUGCCUCAUAGUGGGGAAUAGCCUUCCGAAAGGAAGAUUAAUACCGCAUAAUACUCAGAAAUCACAUGAUUUCUGAGCCAAAGGAUUUAUUCGCUAUGAGAUGGACCCGCGGCGCAUUAGCUUGUUGGUGAGGUAACGGCUCACCAAGGCUUCGAUGCGUAGCCGACCUGAGAGGGUGAUCGGCCACAUUGGAACUGAGACACGGUCCAGACUCCUACGGGAGGCAGCAGUUUGGAAUUUUGGACAAUGGACGAAAGUCUGAUCCAGCGACGCCGCGUGGACGAUGACGGCCUUCGGGUUGUAAAGUCCUUUUGCUUGGGACGAAUUUUUGACGGUACCAAGCGGAUAAGAGGUUGCUAACUCUGUGCCAGCAGCCGCCGUAA